This 2060-nucleotide long non-coding RNA is filed under the name Sus scrofa (pig). RNAcentral describes it as "lncRNA (ENSSSCG00050040077.1)". Lineage: Eukaryota; Metazoa; Chordata; Mammalia; Artiodactyla; Suidae. The record is from RNAcentral.
GUUCUCUGUCUAGCUGUGACCGGCUGAGGCGGCGCGGCGGCACAGGGACGGUAGUUUUGCCUAGCUACUGCAGCACCAUAGUGUCAGUUGGUCCCGCCCAGAACACUUCAGUUCUGCUCUGCAAGGAUAUAUAACUGAUUGGUGUGUCCAUUUAAUACAAGAAAAUGGAAACGGAACAACCGGAGGAAACCUUUCCCAACACUGAAACCAAUGGCGAAUUUGGUAAACGCCCUGCUGAAGAUAUGGAAGAAGAACAAGCUUUUAAAAGAUCUAGAAACACUGAUGAGAUGGUUGAACUGCGCAUCCUGCUUCAGAGCAAGAAUGCUGGGGCAGUGAUUGGGAAAGGAGGCAAGAAUAUUAAGGCUCUCCGUACAGACUACAAUGCCAGUGUUUCAGUCCCAGACAGCAGUGGCCCCGAGCGGUAUGUCCCAACAGUUUAUGCCUCACUGCCUGAUUAGAAAGAGAGAAAUGUAUUUUAUUACCUGCCUUUUAUAUAAUUAAAUAGUAUCCCCUUUAGACGGUGUAUUGUUUUUCAAGUUUCUGUCUUAUUUUCCCCAUUAAGUCUUUUUGUCACUGAACUUUUACCGUGAGUUGCCCACCCAAACGAUCCACUAAUUUUAUUUCGAUGGAAGGAGCACAGCUUCAAGUGUUGCAUAUUUGCUGCAUUGUAAAUCAAAUUGUUACCGAAAUAGUCUCUCGCUCUGUCUUUGUGGCCCACCUUGCUUCCCAAACAUUGCCUGUUCAUAAUUUUUUCUGAUGAAAUGCUAACUCUGGUUCACUUUCCUUCACUUCUCAUUUGUGUUGUCUUUGUUUUGUCUUGCAUUUGUAUUUGUUUUCUUGCAGAGCCCAUUAGUGAUCUAAUUUCUAACUGGUAUCCAUAACCUUACUCCAGAUAUAAUGUUCACCACUUGGCAUAUUCCCCCACUUUGCCUAAGAGAAGGUGUGCCAGUUUUACCAGUGUAACAGCGAGGGUAUCCUUAAUUAACUUAGUGGUGGCGGGGAACAUAAAUAUUCAACUCUGCUUCAGUUCUGGUCAAUUUAUUGCCCACUUAAUCUGAGCCCUUCCAAGAGCCCAUUCUCUCUGUCUCUGCAAGUCUCCUAAUAUUGUUACCAUGUUUGUAUUGGGCAUAAAACAAAAUGCAUGUGAAAAAUGUAUAAAUAGGCUACUUUAAAUGGGGAGUAUUAAAUAAUUGUAUGCUACUUCUCUGUAAAAGUUUGCUUGACUACGGGUGAUGACCACAAAACUCAUUUUUUCUUUUCCACCUUUUUUUGUACUAUCUGGUAUUUGUGAUGUUUGACAGCAUAUUGAGUAUCAGUGCCGAUAUUGAAACAAUUGGAGAAAUUCUGAAGAAAAUCAUCCCUACCUUAGAAGAGGGCCUGCAGUUGCCAUCACCCACUGCAACCAGCCAGCUCCCGCUCGAAUCUGAUGCUGUGGAAUGCUUAAAUGUAUGUCAUAGUGCCAUUGAACCCCACUGAAGUAUGGAGCCUGGCCCAUAGGAUCAAUUUUAUUUUCAACAUAGUGUACUUUUCCCAUCUCUAUAGAAAAAGGCUUAAAAACAUGAUAAAUGAAUGGUCUUACAACUCACUGUUGACCCUGCUCCAUGCUGCAGUGGGAAUUAACUACAUUUGCAAAGUGCUUUGCAGUCAUUUUUAUUAUGGUGUUAUUUGAAUGUUAAUAAUAAUUUUGUGGUAACAGCGACAUGCUAAAUGGCUGCAGUGUGGGUAUGGUGUUGCAGGACCUGAAAAUAAAAUAGUUUUUUAAGGUGGUGCAGAAUGUCCUUUUUGGGCCUGGCUAUUGAGGAUAAUAAGCACAUAACUGGUAAAGUUAUUGAAAUAUAAAUUCAGGUUGCUCACUGCAACAGUAUGUUGUUAUGCUUAUAGCAGAUAAGUGUGUAUUCUUGGGGAAUCCUUGAUUUGGGACUAAAGUUUUAUAACUCUCCCUCCCGCAGUACCAGCACUAUAAAGGAAGCGACUUUGACUGCGAGUUGAGAUUGUUGAUUCAUCAGAGUCUGGCAGGAGGAAUUAUUGGGGUCAAAGGUGCUAAAAUCAAAGAACUUCGG